CCUACGGGUGGCUGCAGUGGGGAAUAUUGCACAAUGGGCGCAAGCCUGAUGCAGCCAUGCCGCGUGUGUGAAGAAGGCCUUCGGGUUGUAAAGCACUUUCAGCGGGGAGGAAGGCGGUGAGGUUAAUAACCUCAUCGAUUGACGUUACCCGCAGAAGAAGCACCGGCUAACUCCGUGCACAGCAGCCGCGGUAAUACGGAGGGUGCAAGCGUUAAUCGGAAUUACUGGGCGUAAAGCGCACGCAGGCGGUCUGUCAAGUCGGAUGUGAAAUCCCCGGGCUCAACCUGGGAACUGCAUUCGAAACUGGCAGGCUAGAGUCUUGUAGAGGGGGGUAGAAUUCCAGGUGUAGCGGUGAAAUGCGUAGAGAUCUGGAGGAAUACCGGUGGCGAAGGCGGCCCCCUGGACAAAGACUGACGCUCAGGUGCGAAAGCGUGGGGAGCAAACAGGAUUAGAUACCCCAGUAGUC
RNAcentral lists this ribosomal RNA (466 nucleotides) under uncultured Klebsiella sp. Its description in RNAcentral is "bacterial SSU rRNA". It matches the Rfam family "Bacterial small subunit ribosomal RNA", at positions 338 to 795 of the family's 1533-position model. Lineage: Bacteria; Pseudomonadati; Pseudomonadota; Gammaproteobacteria; Enterobacterales; Enterobacteriaceae. The record is from RNAcentral.